GGAUCAUUAAUGAAAAACUUCUUAAACAGUUUUUUUUAUAUCCCAUUGUCUACCUACCAUGUUGCUUCCACUGGACCUUAUGUAAGACCUUUGGCUUGUGUGAAUAAACUCAAGUCAGAGAGUUGCCAGUGGCAGGACUAUUUACCAAAACUUGAUUAAAAACACAUUGUCUGAAUCUUUUGCUUCAAUAUAAUAAAACUUUCAACAACGGAUCUCUAGGCUCUUGCAUCGAUGAAGAACGCAGUGAAAUGCGAUAAGUAAUGUGAAUUGCAGAAUCUCGUGAAUCAUCGAAUCUUUGAACGCACAUUGCGCCCUAUGGUAUUCCGUAGGGCAUGCCUGUCUGAGCGUCAGCUCCCACCCACUCAGGUAUCUGUUUAUCGGAUGCUUGGAAUGCUUUGGAGAGGCGUCUUAUUAUAGAAACGCCCCCCAGAAAUUAAUAGGCAGUAUGGUUUGCACCUGAACCAGAGACGUAAUAAUAAUAAAAUCGUUUUGUUUAGGUAUAAUUGUGCUUGCC
RNAcentral lists this ribosomal RNA (514 nucleotides) under fungal sp. YT-2014-TypeB. Its description in RNAcentral is "eukaryotic LSU rRNA". The stretch from base 197 to 350 matches the Rfam family "5.8S ribosomal RNA". Lineage: Eukaryota; Fungi. The record is from RNAcentral.